This 67-nucleotide transfer RNA is filed under the name Roxasellana stellata. Its description in RNAcentral is "tRNA-Val". Lineage: Eukaryota; Metazoa; Arthropoda; Insecta; Hemiptera; Cicadellidae. The record is from RNAcentral.
CAGAUUAUAGCUUAUAAUAAAAGCUUUUUAUUUACAUUAAUAGGAAAAUUCAAUAAAUUUUAUCUGA